Haliotis rubra (blacklip abalone) is the source of this 110-nucleotide long non-coding RNA. RefSeq lists it as uncharacterized. The record is from RefSeq and is a predicted model, not a curated record. The transcript is spliced from 3 exons. Lineage: Eukaryota; Metazoa; Mollusca; Gastropoda; Lepetellida; Haliotidae.
UUCCUCGGUGUUUCGCACAAUCGACCGAUCCAGUCUGUUAAUCAAAACUGACGCAUGCGUCAAUUUUGGCCAAUCAGCAGGCCGGGCGCUUUGUGGAUUUGUCAGAUUUA